GAAAAAUUAGGUCAUGUCAAGUUUAGGCACAGAGGCUUCAUUCAACUUUACAGUAAAAAAAGUCCCUAGAGCCCUCGCCUCUCAGGCUUGUUUGAAUUCGAGGUCUAUCAUAAACACCGAAAAUAAACACUCAGUCAACGCAUGAAAAGGGGAAGUGGUGAAUGCAUCUUCUUUCCAGAGCUUCAGUUCUUUAGACUGGGAGGCACAUGUCAGACGUCUUUUGACAACAGCUUUGCACCUGUUUUUUGCUGUUGUGUCUAGCAGAUGGAUCUACCCACGGAUCUUUCGUCCAGGUUAUGGAUGCUUAUUAUUAUUAUUAUUUUUAUGUGGAUUUUGAUCAGCCUCGUCUUCAUCUUGAUCAACAAGUGCAUUUCAAAGGCAGGAAAACUCAGAAUCGCAGAGCUCCAGAGAAUGUCUGGCUUCUCCACCAAGAGCAAUCAAUACCAGGGGGGCGAGUAUGUUUCGGAGAUCCCACCUUUACCUCCUCGGACACAGUUUCUCCUCACAGAGGCCCAAAGUUAUGAGAACCUGGACGCCGCAGAUGAUCAGACUGAUCGGACUGAUCAGACUGAUCAGAUCGUCCACGAGCAGGACGUCCCAGACUACGAGCAGGUUGACCAGGACGUCCCGGACUGCGAGCAGGACGUCCCAGACUACGAGCAGGACGUCUCAGACUACGAGCAGGUUGACCAGGACGUCCCAGACUACGAGCAGAUUGACCAGGACGUCGCAGACUACGAGCAGGACAAGCAGUCCGACUCUUUGAAGGCGGUGGGUGAGGACGAGCCUCUCCCUCUGAUUCCACGGUACCCAGAUCUAGAUCCAGCAGCAGACAGUUUCUCAGAGGACGACUACGACGACAUCGGGGGUGAAGAUGAAACCGAGGGGGAAGAGGACUACGACGAUGUGGCUUAGGACCACAAGAGAACGGGAGAGAGAUCAUUCAAGUAAAGACGCUGUCAACCCUCUGGAUCAGAACGAAGUCCCCCGGGCAGGUGGAAGGUUUUCAUGUGUUUCAUAAGUAGAAGGGGUGGUUGUCUGUAGUUAAUGUGUGGUUUUCAAGGACAAAGAAGAGGCAGAACACAUACGUGACUCAUUUUCCAGGCAAAGGAUGUGGUCAGUUUAAUCUACAGGAAUACUUCAUAUUCUAAUCAUCCAUGUUUGUAGCGUCUAAAAAGAACAACCUGCCUGUUUUCAGCUAAGAGGCUUUUUAAAAUAGUUGAUUCCAUUUAAGGGGAAGGAGGAUUUCCUUUAUCUCUUUAUUCAGUUUAUCAGAAACACUCUACAUCCGCAUCUGGACACGUGGUUUUCACUUGGCAGGAAGGGGAUGAAAAACAGUCAUCUGAAAAGAAACUAAAGCCGUCAGCGAAAUGUGGUAGAGAAAACAGUACAAUACAAUUAUGAGUAAGUACAUUAAAUAGGAAAACUUGAGUAAAAAACCUAUUGAUUGGUUUAGAAAGCAGACAAGGCUCAGAGGCAUUUCCUCCUUCUUCUUUUCUGCUGAAUCCCAAGUUUUAGAGACUCUGAUCCCGGUUUGGUUACGACUGCGUCAUCAGUCGAGCCGUCGAAGGCUUAAAAUAACUAUAAAAAAAAAAAAAUGUUUUUAUGCUGCCGUGUGGUUGACGCUGCAUUCUGAUUGUACAGCUGUUGAUUGUUGUUGCGCUUUAUGAGCUUUGACUCACCUGUCAAUGUAGCUGGGUUGCAUUUAAGUAAUUUAGCAUGUUAACAUAGUCCGUGCAUGUAGAAGUCAUGGAGUCGAACUCGCACUUGAGUAUUGUUAAAACAAUCUCUUACCCUGCUUGGAGUAAUGUCACGCUCAUCCUCCGUCUUAUACGUUCCAUCUCCACAGGGGUCGUGUCGGGCCCCUCGGGUGGCAGCAGGCCCUCAGCAGCCUCUCAGCCCGGUCGUCCUCUGUGGAUCCAAACAUUGGAUUCAAAAAGGGAAAGAAUUCUACCAAAAAACAUAGUUAUUUGAUCUCCGUUUAUGAAAAAGCGCCGUUAAGCCAGCAGUUUGGUGACCCACAUACAUAAUCUCUCACACUCUGACCACAUAAUAACAUCCUGCCAGUCAUCAGUCACUGCCUUACGUAGCCCUCGGGAAGUUUUAAUGAAUAUAAGUGGAUUUGAAUGCCUCGGUUUAGGAUUAAGUGAUCUGACGGCGCUCCAAAGAGACAAUGCAGGAAAAGAAAAAGCUGGGGGAAAAAAAAGAGGGGAAAUUUUUUUGGGGGAAAAAAAUCCAGCGAAAACAGGAAGGUCACUGAGGUUAAACAAUUUAAAAAUGUGAAGAAAAAGACAAGAUUCUUUCCUUUUUUCUUUUUUACAGUCUGUGCUGGCAUUGUCCACUGUGCAGCUGAUUGAUGGAAUACUUAACUAAUAAUAUAUUAUUUAGCACAUGAAAAUAUAUUAAAAUGUUUUUUUGAUGGAUUUAACACAUUAUAAUGUACUUGUCAGUGUAUAUUUAGUGUGUAUUAAUGUGCUGUGAUUGCCAACAAUCAUAACCACGUAAGACAGUUAUAUUUUCAUGUAGUUCAGGAAGAGUUUGGAUUGUUUACCACAUUAAUAGAAGGAUUUGUCUUAUAAUUAGGUUCAUAUAGUUAUUGGCUCUCUAACAGAAAACAUUUUCGUAGGAAAAUCUUUCGUUUUUCACAAGGACUUUAAUUUUGAAGAAUCUAAAACGGAAGUGUAGCUGUAGCUAAAGGUGUGGGUUUGAAACAGCAAGCCCACGCUUUCUUUUUUGAAAAUUCGUAUAAAUAUUAGAUUGUGUUGAUAGAUGAGAGGAGACAAUGCUGUUUGAAAAAGAGUUCAAAAGGAAUAUUGACUCCUAAAAAACUUUAUUUUAUGUUAAAAACGUGCAUCUUUAUCAACACUAUUACAGCAACAGAUAGAAAUAUAUAAACGUCCAAUUCGAUUCAAUUUUAAAAAUACCAUCAGAAAUUAUAUGCAAAAAAACAAUAAACAACCACAUACCACGGUGAAAACACAAAUGUACUUUCCGUUACAGUAUUAUCUGUUUUAUCAGAGGCUUAUAUUAUUUUGGGAUAUUUUUAUUGCCUGAUUUUGUUGGUCUCAAUGUUGUCCUGAAAUGUUUUAAUCCCAGUUUAACCACCAAAGGCACUUUGUUUAAAGUAUAACAUGCUGUAUGAAUUUGGUUGAUUAUUAAGAUGAUUGUUCCAAAAUUGUUUUGUGUUUUAUUCACACAAAGAUUUCACGUGUUGUGGAUAAAAUGUUCAAUGUAUUUUAGAAGUGCAGCAUAAUAUUUAGUUUACCUAAGCGUAGUGUGUAGCAACCUGACAUCCUGCCUGUACAGAUAAAACGUGAUUUGCUUUUUAAUAAUAGUUAUGGGAUGCACCAUGAUGUAAUAAAUAAAACGUAACGAUAGAGCUAUUUAUAAAACAAUGCAGUUCCGGUUUUAAAGCUGUAUUUGGUGGUACAAGUGAAAGUUGUUACGUUAAUUGUUGCUAUUGUUACAGUGACUUUCCCCUCUACUGUUUAACAGUUUAAUUUGGUGUGUUUCCUUCCUCCUUAAAUAUGAAUGAUACUAUCUGAACGGUUGUAUGAAUUGUUGGUGUCUUUUCUUAUUAGAAUAAAUUCUUUGCACUCUUUUUUGUCAUUUAUUAUGCUUAGCAAUCAACAUGAGAGAAAAGAAAAAGCAAGUAGCCAUCAGCAAUGAUUAUGAAUAGAAAAUGUUCAGUAAAUAGAACGAAAUAGGCGAAAUACAAA
This is a long non-coding RNA of Gasterosteus aculeatus aculeatus (three-spined stickleback), 3719 nucleotides long. Lineage: Eukaryota; Metazoa; Chordata; Actinopteri; Perciformes; Gasterosteidae. The record is from Ensembl.